AUUGAACGCUGGCGGCAGGCCUAACACAUGCAAGUCGAGCGGAUGAAUGGAGCUUGCUCCUGGAUUCAGCGGCGGACGGGUGAGUAAUGCCUAGGAAUCUGCCUGGUAGUGGGGGAUAACGUCCGGAAACGGGCGCUAAUACCGCAUACGUCCUGUGGGAGAAAGUGGGGGAUCUUCGGACCUCACGCUAUCAGAUGAGCCUAGGUCGGAUUAGCUAGUUGGUGGGGUAAAGGCCUACCAAGGCGACGAUCCGUAACUGGUCUGAGAGGAUGAUCAGUCCCACUGGAACUGAGACACGGUCCAGACUACUACGGGAGGCAGCAGUGGGGAAUAUUGGACUAUGGGCGAAAGCCUGAUCCAGCCAUGCCGCGUGUGUGAAGAAGGUCUUCGGAUUGUAAAGCACUUUAAGUUGGGAGGAAGGGCAGUAAGUUAAUACCUUGCUGUUUUGCCGGUACCAACAGAAUAAGCACCGGCUAACUUCGUG
This 484-nucleotide ribosomal RNA is filed under the name uncultured bacterium. Its description in RNAcentral is "partial 16S ribosomal RNA". It matches the Rfam family "Bacterial small subunit ribosomal RNA", at positions 30 to 507 of the family's 1533-position model. The record is from RNAcentral.